GCAGACGGGUGAGUAACGCGUGGGAAUCUACCGUGCCCUGCGGAAUAGCUCCGGGAAACUGGAAUUAAUACCGCAUACGCCCUACGGGGGAAAGAUUUAUCGGGGUAUGAUGAGCCCGCGUUGGAUUAGCUAGUUGGUGGGGUAAAGGCCUACCAAGGCGACGAUCCAUAGCUGGUCUGAGAGGAUGAUCAGCCACAUUGGGACUGAGACACGGCCCAAACUCCUACGGGAGGCAGCAGUGGGGAAUAUUGGACAAUGGGCGCAAGCCUGAUCCAGCCAUGCCGCGUGAGUGAUGAAGGCCUUAGGGUUGUAAAGCUCUUUCACCGGAGAAGAUAAUGACGGUAUCCGGAGAAGAAGCCCCGGCUAACUUCGUGCCAGCAGCCGCGGUAAUACGAAGGGGGCUAGCGUUGUUCGGAAUUACUGGGCGUAAAGCGCACGUAGGCGGAUAUUUAAGUCAGGGGUGAAAUCCCAGAGCUCAACUCUGGAACUGCCUUUGAUACUGGGUAUCUUGAGUAUGGAAGAGGUAAGUGGAAUUCCGAGUGUAGAGGUGA
This 551-nucleotide ribosomal RNA is filed under the name Rhizobium sp. RNAcentral's name for it is "bacterial SSU rRNA". It matches the Rfam family "Bacterial small subunit ribosomal RNA", at positions 98 to 684 of the family's 1533-position model. The record is from RNAcentral. Lineage: Bacteria; Pseudomonadati; Pseudomonadota; Alphaproteobacteria; Hyphomicrobiales; Rhizobiaceae.